This 429-nucleotide ribosomal RNA is filed under the name Acidobacteriota bacterium. RNAcentral's name for it is "Acidobacteria bacterium partial 16S ribosomal RNA". It matches the Rfam family "Bacterial small subunit ribosomal RNA", at positions 355 to 776 of the family's 1533-position model. Lineage: Bacteria; Pseudomonadati; Acidobacteriota. The record is from RNAcentral.
UGGGGAAUUUUGGACAAUGGGGGAAACCCUGAUCCAGCCAUCCCGCGUGUGCGAUGAAGGCCUUCGGGUUGUAAAGCACUUUUGGCAGGAAAGAAACUUCAUGGGUUAAUACCCCGUGAAACUGACGGUACCUGCAGAAUAAGCACCGGCUAACUACGUGCCAGCAGCCGCGGUAAUACGUAGGGUGCAAGCGUUAAUCGGAAUUACUGGGCGUAAAGCGUGCGCAGGCGGUUCGGAAAGAAAGAUGUGAAAUCCCAGAGCUCAACUUUGGAACUGCAUUUUUAACUACCGGGCUAGAGUGUGUCAGAGGGAGGUGGAAUUCCGCGUGUAGCAGUGAAAUGCGUAGAUAUGCGGAGGAACACCGAUGGCGAAGGCAGCCUCCUGGGAUAACACUGACGCUCAUGCACGAAAGCGUGGGGAGCAAACAGG